Brassica rapa (field mustard) is the source of this 2011-nucleotide RNA transcript. RefSeq lists it as uncharacterized. The record is from RefSeq and is a predicted model, not a curated record. Lineage: Eukaryota; Viridiplantae; Streptophyta; Magnoliopsida; Brassicales; Brassicaceae.
AAUCCGAAAGCUUUCGAUUUUGAACCAUACAAACAUCUCUCCCAUGGCGGAAACUCGAAACUCGUAACUAGAGAAGAAGCAGCUGUAACUAGAGAAUGGCUUGUGUCUCGACAUGCUUACUCAUCUCCCCUAGGCUAACUCAAUCGGAGCUCUCAUCAAAAAAGCCUUCGAUUCGCCUCAGAUCUCCCUUUCCCAGUGGAAAGCUAACGGAGAGGUCCCCGAGCCGUCGCCGGAAGUUCAACAACCGUCGAAUCUCGGUGGUGAGGGCGGCGAGUAUAGAUAAUAAGCUCACCGGCGGCGCAAUCAGACCGGGAGGACUGGUGGAGAGCGACAAGAUACCUACUGAUGUCCGAAAACGAGCUAUGGAAGCUGUGGACGAGUGUGGUCGGAGAGUCACUGUCGGUGACGUGGCUAGCAGAGCUGGUCUGAACGUUACACAAGCUCAGACAGCGCUUCAGGCUCUCGCCGCGGACACUGAUGGGUUUCUCGAGGUCUCAGAUGAAGGUGAUGUGCUUUAUGUAUUCCCAAGGGACUAUCGGUCUAAGCUAGCUACCAAGUCGUUAAGGGUACAGAUUGAACCGUUUCUUGAGAAGGCAAAGGGUGCUGCUGACUAUCUGACUCGUGUCUCAUUUGGCACUGCGCUUAUUGCGUCUAUUGUUAUCGUCUACACAACAAUUAUAGUCUUGAUUUCAAGCAGAAGUGAGGAUGAUAAUCGUCAGAGGAGACGUGGGCGAGGAUAUGAUUCUGGAUUCAAUUUCUAUAUCAAUCCUAUCGAUUUAUUUUGGUAUUGGGAUCCCAACUAUUACAGAAGGCGGCGAGCUCGAGAAGAUGAAGGAAAGGGAAUGAAUUUCAUUGAAUCUGUUUUCUCCUUUGUGUUUGGAGAUGGAGACCCAAAUCAAGGGAUUGAAGAAGAGAGGUGGCAGAUGAUUGGGAGGUAUAUAACUUCUAGAGGAGGUGUUGUUGCAGCUGACGAGCUUGCUCCAUACCUUGAUGUGUCAUCUUCCAAGAGUGCUAUGAGCGAUGAAUCCUACAUUCUUCCUGUUCUUCUUCGGUUUGAUGGUCAACCUGAGUUGGAUGAUGAGGGAAACAUUCUGUAUCGCUUUCCAUCCCUGCAACGCACAGCUUCUGGAUCUGGUAGAAGAAAGGAAUACGUGGGGAAAUGGUUUGACUUUGUUGCAGAUAUGGAGAAGUUCUUCAAGGAGAAAAAAUGGCAAUUUAGUAAAACUAGUUCAUCCGAGAGAGCUUUGGUCGUUGGCCUAGGUGCUUUUAAUCUCUUUGGUGUCAUUGUUCUAAACUCCUUGCUAAAGGAGAUGGCUGUCACACCAAGUGGGUUUCUUACAUUUGUUAAGAACAUAUAUCCACUACUUCAGGUAUACGCAGGUUCAUUCUUUGCAAUCCCUUUGAUUCGGUGGUUUUCAAUCAAGAGAAAGAAUGACCAGAUAGAGAAUAGAAACAAAGCUCGGCUACAGUUUGCACGAGCACUAGAGUCUCCUGAUAUCGCUCUACGCCGUAAGCUACUAAGUGCAAGGGACAUGGCUCAAAAUACAGUGAUAGGGAAGGAGAGGAUAGUGUAUACUACAGAUAAAGAUAUGAUUGAACAAGACUAUGAGGCAGAGGAAUGGGACAGACGAUUCCGUGAGGUGGAAAAAUCAGAUUAAAAAAAAUGUGAAAUCAGGGACUUGUGACAGCAACUCACACUUGAUCCGCAACACAUGAACUGUCUCAAUAACUUUACUUGGACACGCAUCAAGUUGCUGCGGAUGACACAAGGGCAUGGUACAUACUAUAUAGACAUUGUUCUUCUCUUUGAGACAGAGAAAGUCAUUAAGGUCUCUUAAGUUAACACAAACCAUACAUGCACUGGGUCUUGUACUCUUUGUUUAUAUGUUAUGCAUUCAAGAGAUCCCAAGUAUAUUUGCUUGUUGGGGAGAGUGACAAAAAACAUAUGCAGUAGAAGAUUAUGUACAGUGAUAUAUAUAUACACAAAAGUCCAUUUUCUUGGUCAUGAGAA